AGCAGCCGCGGUAAUUCCAGCUCCAAUAGCGUAUAUUAAAGUUGUUGCAGUUAAAAAGCUCGUAGUUGAAUUUCAGGCCUGGCUGGACGGUCCGCCCUUCGGGUGAGUACUGUCUGUGGUCGGGUCCUACCUUCUGGCGAAGCGUCAUGGCCUUAACCGGCCGUGGCGGGGAACCAGGACUUUUACUGUGAAAAAAUUAGAGUGUUCAAAGCAGGCAAUCGCUUGGAUACAUUAGCAUGGAAUAAUGGAAUAGGACAAUGGUUCUAUUUGUUGGUUUCUAGGACCGUUGUAAUGAUUAAUAGGGAUAGUUGGGGGCAUUAGUAUUCAAUUGUCAGAGGUGAGAUUCUUGGAUUUAUUGAAGACUAACUACUGCGAAAGCAUUUGCCAAGGAUGUUUUCAUUAAUCAAGAACGAAAGUUAGGGGAUCGAAGACGAUCAGAUACCGUCGUAGUCUUAACCAUAAACUAUGCCGACUAGGGAUCGGAUGAUGUUAAUUUUUAAUGACUCAUUCGGCGCCUUAA
This 520-nucleotide ribosomal RNA is filed under the name uncultured Paraglomus. Its description in RNAcentral is "SSU rRNA". It matches the Rfam family "Eukaryotic small subunit ribosomal RNA", at positions 569 to 1091 of the family's 1831-position model. The record is from RNAcentral. Lineage: Eukaryota; Fungi; Glomeromycota; Glomeromycetes; Paraglomerales; Paraglomeraceae.